This 253-nucleotide ribosomal RNA is filed under the name uncultured bacterium. RNAcentral's name for it is "partial 16S ribosomal RNA". It matches the Rfam family "Bacterial small subunit ribosomal RNA", at positions 524 to 776 of the family's 1533-position model. The record is from RNAcentral.
UACGUAGGGUGCGAGCGUUGUCCGGAAUUACUGGGCGUAAAGAGCUUGUAGGCGGUUUGUCGCGUCUGCCGUGAAAAUUCGAGGCUCAACCUCGAACUUGCGGUGGGUACGGGCAGACUAGAGUGUGGUAGGGGAGACUGGAAUUCCUGGUGUAGCGGUGAAAUGCGCAGAUAUCAGGAGGAACACCGAUGGCUAAGGCAGGUCUCUGGGCCGCUACUGACGCUGAGAAGCGAAAGCAUGGGGAGCGAACAGG